UACGUAGGGUGCAAGCGUUGUUCGGAAUUACUGGGCGUAAAGCGCGCGUAGGCGGAUUGGAAAGUCGAUUGUGAAAUCCCUGGGCUCAACCCGGGAAUUGCAGUCGAAACUCCCAAUCUUGAGUGCCUGAGAGGAUGGCGGAAUUCCCGGUGUAGUAGUGAAAUACGUAGAUAUCGGGAAGAACACCUGAGGCGAAGGCGGCUAUCUGGCGGUGCACUGACGCUGAGGCGCGAAAGCGUGGGGAGCAAACAGG
Molecule: ribosomal RNA, 253 nt
Filed under: uncultured bacterium
Lineage: Bacteria
Description: partial 16S ribosomal RNA
Rfam family: Bacterial small subunit ribosomal RNA
Source: RNAcentral